UAAAAAAUUAUGCUGUUUAUGGACUCAAUACACUAUCGAAUGCAACGGCAAAGCAGUGGUUCCCACUAUUCCUUUCUGGUAAUAUGGACAUCGAAAAGGUCAAUAAAAUAAUGGAAAUCAUCGAAUUGGACCGGCAUAUAUAUCUACGUACAUCUUUGGUUAUGAAACAUGGUAUUUUAUAUGAAGUUCUGACUCAUUGAAUCAAAGGAUGAUCAAAUAUAUUUGAAUAGAUCUCAAUAAUAAAGGGCGUCACUUUUAUAUUUAUUGUAUGUAUAUGGAAUGAAUUAAGUUCAUCGAUAAUCCCCGGUCAAUAAAUAUUCGUGAAUCGUGACUAUGUGGAGAUGGAUUAUUUGCACUUGUUAAAAGAAGGGUCUAUAAAUUAUAAUACUUGUACAUACAAGUUGAAAGUGCACAUUUGUGAAUUGAAAGAAAAUUAAUUAGUCAAACGGAUGGAUUAAAGUAUAAAUACUAGUAUUGGGU
RNAcentral lists this long non-coding RNA (480 nucleotides) under Lepeophtheirus salmonis (salmon louse). Its description in RNAcentral is "uncharacterized LOC121118328". Lineage: Eukaryota; Metazoa; Arthropoda; Copepoda; Siphonostomatoida; Caligidae. The record is from RNAcentral.